CGAGCCGGGGAGCUGCGUGCGUCCUCCAGCCCCCCGCUCCCCGGAAACCCGAGGGGCUGUGCGCACCGUGCCGGGGACCCCAGUGCGGUGCAAACGCCGGAAGCAGGCGAGGGACCCGCGAGACCUAAGUGGGGACGAGUGGGGGGCGACAGACCGGGCUGGGAAAUUGCCAACCCGUCCCCGGAGACUGCUUUUUGGGAGCCCCGUCCCUUCCCCGGAGGAGGCAAAUUCCACAGGGAGAGAGAAAAGCUGUGACAGAAAAAAGCAGAAAGUGAAGCAACAUGUAAGCCAGCAGCCUGAGGACCACACCAUCAAUGAGAGAUGCUGGGAAGAGAUGCUGGGAAGAGAUGGCCCGAGAGUCCAAGAGCAUGAGAUGAGUUACACAUGGAUGUUCUCUGCUGGGCACAAUAGGCCUCAGGAUAAUCAGAGAGACAGUAUUUAUCUUUUAAGCCAAGAAACAGGAUGAGUGAAAGCCCAAUAACAACUGGAAUUGGUUGGUCAGUUUUUUAGAAACAGAGACAGGAUGAAACACC
RNAcentral lists this long non-coding RNA (533 nucleotides) under Fukomys damarensis (Damara mole-rat). Its description in RNAcentral is "lncRNA (ENSFDAG00000023152.1)". Lineage: Eukaryota; Metazoa; Chordata; Mammalia; Rodentia; Bathyergidae. The record is from RNAcentral.